CUUGGCCAUGUUGGGUUUUAUCAUGUGUUCGGUCUUGCUUGCUUUUGCCGACAACCCUUCAAACUAAAGGCCCUAUAAGGAAAACUGGUUCCUUGUAAACGGUAACUGGGUUAGCUCGACUGAGGUCAAGGCGACUGGCGCUCGAGUCGCUAGAUGCUUUAGGGACAAGGUUGAUUAGUUUGGCCAAGUUUCUUUUUCUGAAGAAGAAGAAUUUCAGUUGACAGUCAUCACUUCCUUGCCUUCUAAAGAGCUUUCCAUUGCCACCAUACAUACCGAAUCUCGUUUAAGAAUGAUUGAUCUUUUAGGAGGUAAACUAACCAAACCUCAAUGCCUUCAUCUAUGGUCUGGUCUUGGUGGAUUUAUAUUAUUUGUUGCUCAUUUUUUCAACACUUCUUUUCACUUUACAAAUGGAGAAAUGGAUGUUCAAGUUGAAAAGAUCGCCCGCCGAGCUAUGCACAAAAAGAACGCUCCCAGUGGCGUUUAAAAGUAGAUAGUCGCUUGAGGUGUUGGUAAGAGCGGGCCAAACACUUAGCUUGCCAGUCCCGACCUACUUCUAAAGGUGGUAUUGAGUACUCCUCCGAGUGCGGGGAGGGACAAAUCCUCGGGCAAGUGCCCGAUUACUGGCGGCUCGGACGCCCCUACUGCAAGAGGCUGGCGGUUGUUUCUUCCGCCCCUUAGCGGUUAUAGGUAGGAUCCAACCUAUGUGAUUGUCGUGUGCUUUGAGGAUGCAUUUCCCCAAGAGAUUUACUCAUACUUGAACAUCCGUAAGGGAGUCUUUCAUGGGGAGAGCAUCGCGGACGCCAUGCGAGGUUUGAAGGGGACACCCAUGAACAGGUGGCCCUUGCUUUGAUCUUCAGGCUGGGGUAAACUUUCAUCAGGCUCUUUUCGCCAAUUUUGAAGGCUUAGACACCUCUUCAAGAAGAGAAAACAGAGCGCCAAUUACGAGCGAGACAUGAAGAGGUUGCAAGAUACUGUGAAGGCCAAACAGAUGGAGUUCGGAUCCACCAAGAAGGUUGUUAAGGCGGCUAAGAAAGAGGCUGCUCAACUGCAGAUGAAGACCAAGUGCAUGAGAAAGCAGUUGAGCGAAUCUUCCACAAGCAAGCUCAAGACUACCAUGGAGUUGGGCGAGGCUUAAGAUGCCGCUUAGGCUUUGAGGAAGGAGAACAAAUGCAUGCAAAAGGACUUGGAUGAAUCCUCCUAGGUUGGUGGUUAAGACAUGGACAACUACUUUUAAAUUCCGAUUGGCCAGGAGCUCGCCAACAAACUCCGCUUCCAAGGCUACGUGGAGUUCUACAAAAAGGUGAAUUUGACCUAUCCUGACUACGACCUAGAUGUAGGGGACGACGAGGAUGGCUCUGAGCAUGAUGAAGAUAAUAAGGUUCUCAUGGUUGUUAGUGGAAAUGGUGUUCGCAUAAAGAUGUUGGUAGAAAGGGUGUUCGCAUAAAGUUGCUGGUGAAAAUGGUGUUUGCAAAAAGUUGCUCAUUGAAAUUGUGGUGCAUGACGCUGCUUAGCAUGUAAGACUAUAGUGGAAACAGUUGGAUAGGGAAACAACUAAAUCUAGGCGGGGAAGCGGUAGUUAUAGUAAACAAUCGACAUGGUGUUUGGCAACCAACUUAAACCUUAAAAGGUAUAGGGUGUAGGCAUUGUUGAUUUUGCCUAAGGUUUCUUGAGUCAAUUAUAAUGCUUGAAUUUCUUGAAUUACUUGAGGCUGAUUAAUGCUUGGGACUUGCUCGAUAUGUUGAAAUACAUACAGCUAGGAAUUCUUGAAUCAGCAUACUUGCAUGGCUUAAAGUACUCAAAUCUGUUGCUUGAACCAUUGGUGCAGGAAAUACCAUUUUUUCUGCCAUUCGAAAGCAUUUCAGUCGCAAGGUUAACAGAUUAGAAGUCACACUGGAGCUAACGCUGGAAACUAAUAUUUCAACAGUUAGAAAGAAGAGUUUUUAUGUUCUUGUUUAUGCUUGGAACAUUUCGGGACGUGUAAUAGAAUUUUCCUCAUGAGAAUUGAAUAAAUGACGGUGAUGGAAAUCUCAAGCAAUGGGGUUUAUCAAGAAUUUUGUUGUAUCAAUGUUAUAAAAGAACGAGUUGGAUUAAGAGAGUAGCUUCCCGCUUCCAUCGGAUGAAUAUGCAGUGCUUGAAGGGGCAAGUAUAGGAAGGUUUAAUUAGAGGAUGGUUUUAUAUGGAAUUACCAAGGCAAUGAGAGU
Molecule: long non-coding RNA, 2201 nt
Organism: Pyrus x bretschneideri (Chinese white pear)
Lineage: Eukaryota; Viridiplantae; Streptophyta; Magnoliopsida; Rosales; Rosaceae
Exons: 4
Source: RefSeq, a predicted model, not a curated record